Small nuclear RNA from Hibiscus syriacus, 113 nucleotides. RefSeq annotates it as U5 spliceosomal RNA. The transcript has a single exon. NCBI's taxonomy places the organism in Eukaryota, Viridiplantae, Streptophyta, Magnoliopsida, Malvales, Malvaceae. The record is from RefSeq and is a predicted model, not a curated record.
AGCCACGCAGUGAACCCAAAGCGAACUAUUCUUUCGUCUUUUACUAAAGAAUACUGUGUGCUCGCUGUUUAAAGUGGCAAACGCUUAUUUUUGGAGGGCUAAUUCUUUGGAAU